Molecule: transfer RNA, 61 nt
Filed under: Ornithodoros furcosus
Lineage: Eukaryota; Metazoa; Arthropoda; Arachnida; Ixodida; Argasidae
Description: tRNA-Asp
Source: RNAcentral
GGGAAACUAGUUAAACAUAUAACAUAAGAUUGUCAUUCUUAAUUUACUAAGGUGUAUCUCA